UGGGGAAUAUUGGGCAAUGGGCGAAAGCCUUACCCAGCAACGCCGCGUGAGGGAAGAAGGUUUUCGGAUUAUAAACCUCUGUCCUGGGGGACGAAGGAAGUGACGGUACCCCGGGAGGAAGCCCCGGCUAACUACGUGCCAGCAGCCGCGGUAAUACGUAGGGGGCGAGCGUUGUCCGGAAUUAUUGGGCGUAAAGGGCGCGUAGACGGCCGAGUAAGUUAUAGGUGAAAGCCCAUCUUUCAAGGAUGGAAUUGCCUGUAAUACUGCCUGGCUUGAGUGCAGGAGAGGGAAGCGGAAUUCCUAGUGUAGCGGUGAAAUGCGUAGAUAUUAGGAGGAACACCAGUGGCGAAGGCGGCUUGCUGGACCGAAACUGACGCUGAGGCUCGAAAGCGUGGGGAGCAAACAGGAUUAGAUACC
RNAcentral lists this ribosomal RNA (417 nucleotides) under uncultured bacterium. RNAcentral's name for it is "bacterial SSU rRNA". It matches the Rfam family "Bacterial small subunit ribosomal RNA", at positions 355 to 786 of the family's 1533-position model. The record is from RNAcentral.